GAGUAAAGUUAAUACCUUUGCUCAUUGACGUUACCCGCAGAAGAAGCACCGGCUAACUCCGUGCCAGCAGCCGCGGUAAUACGGAGGGUGCAAGCGUUAAUCGGAAUUACUGGGCGUAAAGCGCACGCAGGCGGUUUGUUAAGUCAGAUGUGAAAUCCCCGGGCUCAACCUGGGAACUGCAUCUGAUACUGGCAAGCUCGAG
RNAcentral lists this ribosomal RNA (202 nucleotides) under Escherichia coli. RNAcentral describes it as "partial 16S ribosomal RNA". It matches the Rfam family "Bacterial small subunit ribosomal RNA", at positions 447 to 646 of the family's 1533-position model. The record is from RNAcentral. RNAcentral also lists the same sequence under 1 other name. Lineage: Bacteria; Pseudomonadati; Pseudomonadota; Gammaproteobacteria; Enterobacterales; Enterobacteriaceae.